CUGAAUCAGUGUGUGUGUUAGUGGAAGCGUCUGGAAAGGCGCGCGAUACAGGGUGACAGCCCCGUACACAAAAAUGCACAUACUGUGAGCUCGAUGAGUAGGGCGGGACACGUGGUAUCCUGUCUGAAUAUGGGGGGACCAUCCUCCAAGGCUAAAUACUCCUGACUGACCGAUAGUGAACCAGUACCGUGAGGGAAAGGCGAAAAGAACCCCGGCGAGGGGAGUGAAAAAGAACCUGAAACCGUGUACGUACAAGCAGUGGGAGCCUCUUAAUGGGGUGACUGCGUACCUUUUGUAUAAUGGGUCAGCGACUUAUAUUCUGUAGCAAGGUUAACCGAAUAGGGGAGCCGAAGGGAAACCGAGUCUUAACUGGGCGUUAAGUUGCAGGGUAUAGACCCGAAACCCGGUGAUCUAGCCAUGGGCAGGUUGAAGGUUGGGUAACACUAACUGGAGGACCGAACCGACUAAUGUUGAAAAAUUAGCGGAUGACUUGUGGCUGGGGGUGAAAGGCCAAUCAAACCGGGAGAUAGCUGGUUCUCCCCGAAAGCUAUUUAGGUAGCGCCUCGUGAAUUCAUCUCCGGGGGUAGAGCACUGUUUCGGCAAGGGGGUCAUCCCGACUUACCAACCCGAUGCAAACUGCGAAUACCGGAGAAUGUUAUCACGGGAGACACACGGCGGGUGCUAACGUCCGUCGUGAAGAGGGAAACAACCCAGACCGCCAGCUAAGGUCCCAAAGUCAUGGU
Molecule: ribosomal RNA, 743 nt
Filed under: Escherichia coli
Lineage: Bacteria; Pseudomonadati; Pseudomonadota; Gammaproteobacteria; Enterobacterales; Enterobacteriaceae
Description: partial 23S ribosomal RNA
Rfam family: Bacterial large subunit ribosomal RNA
Source: RNAcentral